GUCUAUAUUUGGUAAUAUCUGGAGAAAACUCUGAUAAACCUGGUGUGGGCUCCUUAGGGCAAGUGAGAUCCCAAGGGCCAUGGUAAGAUAGCUUCUCCUGUCUUACUGCAGGAAGUCCUCAUCCCUGAGAUGAAGUGGAGAAAGGUAUGCCCUUCCUCCAGGUCCCUGUCUCUCCCAGACAACAUCCCUUGUAUCCCUCCAUCAUCCGUGGACUCCACAGACAGUUUCUUCCCCUCCAGGAAGCCUCCGAUGUCUGAAUGCUGUCUAUGAGGAGGACGAGCUGGAGGAGGAGCCCAGGAGCACUGGGGAGCUGAGGCUCUGGGAUUACCGGCUCCUCAAGGUCUUCUUUGUGCUGAUCUGCUUCCUGGUCAUGUCCUCAUCCUAUCUGGCAUUCCGUAUUUCUCGGCUAGAGCAGCAGUUACGCUCCUUGAGUUGGGACGGCCCAGUCCCUGGGCACAGGUAACAGCCACUUGGCCUCUGUCCCCAUUCCCUCUCCAAGAAGAAUGUUCUGGGUGCUAAGUCUCCACCAAUGAUCCCUGUGGUUUAUGCUGCUGCUGUGCUAAG
RNAcentral lists this small RNA (564 nucleotides) under Pongo abelii (Sumatran orangutan). RNAcentral describes it as "retained intron". The record is from RNAcentral. Lineage: Eukaryota; Metazoa; Chordata; Mammalia; Primates; Hominidae.